CACAUGCAGUCGAACGAGAGAAGAGAAGCUUGCUUUUCUGAUCUAGUGGCGGACGGGUGAGUAACACGUGAGCAAUCUGCCUUUCAGAGGGGGAUACCGAUUGGAAACGAUCGUUAAUACCGCAUAAUAUAAUUGAACCGCAUGAUUUGAUUAUCAAAGAUUUAUCGCUGAAAGAUGAGCUCGCGUCUGAUUAGCUAGUUGGUAAGGUAACGGCUUACCAAGGCGACGAUCAGUAGCCGGACUGAGAGGUUGAUCGGCCACAUUGGGACUGAGACACGGCCCAGACUCCUACGGGAGGCAGCAGUGGGGAAUAUUGCACAAUGGAGGAAACUCUGAUGCAGCGAUGCCGCGUGAGGGAAGAAGGUUUUAGGAUUGUAAACCUCUGUCUUCAGGGACGAAAAAAGACGGUACCUGAGGAGGAAGCUCCGGCUAACUACGUGCCAGCAGCCGCGGUAAUACGUAGGGAGCGAGCGUUGUCCGGAAUUACUGGGUGUAAAGGGAGCGUAGGCGGGAUCGCAAGUCAGAUGUGAAAACUAUGGGCUUAACCCAUAAACUGCAUUUGAAACUGUGGUUCUUGAGUGAAGUAGAGGUAAGCGGAAUUCCUAGUGUAGCGGUGAAAUGCGUAGAUAUUAGGAGGAACAUCAGUGGCGAAGGCGGCUUACUGGGCUUUAACUGACGCUGAGGCUCGAAAGCGUGGGGAGCAAACAGGAUUAGAUACCCUGGUAGUCCACGCCGUAAACGAUGAUUACUAGGUGUGGGGGGACUGACCCCUUCCGUGCCGCAGCAA
RNAcentral lists this ribosomal RNA (787 nucleotides) under uncultured bacterium. RNAcentral describes it as "bacterial SSU rRNA". It matches the Rfam family "Bacterial small subunit ribosomal RNA", at positions 52 to 854 of the family's 1533-position model. The record is from RNAcentral.